Molecule: ribosomal RNA, 426 nt
Filed under: uncultured Anaerovoracaceae bacterium
Lineage: Bacteria; Bacillati; Bacillota; Clostridia; Peptostreptococcales; Anaerovoracaceae
Description: bacterial SSU rRNA
Rfam family: Bacterial small subunit ribosomal RNA
Source: RNAcentral
GUGGGGAAUAUUGCACAAUGGGCGAAAGCCUGAUGCAGCAACGCCGCGUGAAGGAAGAAGGCCUUCGGGUCGUAAACUUCUGUCCUUGGGGAAGAAGAACUGACGGUACCCAAGGAGGAAGCCCCGGCUAACUACGUGCCAGCAGCCGCGGUAAUACGUAGGGGGCAAGCGUUAUCCGGAAUUAUUGGGCGUAAAGAGUACGUAGGUGGCAACCUAAGCGCAGGGUUUAAGGCAAUGGCUCAACCAUUGUUCGCCCUGCGAACUGGGAUGCUUGAGUGCAGGAGAGGAAAGCGGAAUUCCUAGUGUAGCGGUGAAAUGCGUAGAUAUUAGGAGGAACACCAGUGGCGAAGGCGGCUUUCUGGACUGUAACUGACACUGAGGUACGAAAGCGUGGGGAGCAAACAGGAUUAGAAACCCUUGUAGUCC